RNAcentral lists this ribosomal RNA (463 nucleotides) under uncultured bacterium. Its description in RNAcentral is "partial 16S ribosomal RNA". It matches the Rfam family "Bacterial small subunit ribosomal RNA", at positions 28 to 507 of the family's 1533-position model. The record is from RNAcentral.
GACGAACGCUGGCGGCGCGCCUAACACAUGCAAGUCGAACGGUGAAGAGGAGCUUGCUCCUCGGAACAGUGGCGGACGGGUGAGUAACACGUGAGCAACCUGGCUCUAAGAGGGGGACAACAGUUGGAAACGACUGCUAAUACCGCAUAACGUAUCGGGAUGGCAUCUUCCUGAUACCAAAGAUUUUAUCGCUUAGAGAUGGGCUCGCGUCUGAUUAGAUAGUUGGCGGGGUAACGGCCCACCAAGUCGACGAUCAGUAGCCGGACUGAGAGGUUGAACGGCCACAUUGGGACUGAGACACGGCCCAGACUCCUACGGGAGGGAGCAGUGGGGGAUAUUGGACAAUGGGGGCAACCCUGAUCCAGCGACGCCGCGUGAGGGAAGAAGGUUUUCGGAUUGUAAACCUCUGUUGACGGAGAAAAAAAUGAUGGUAUCCGUUUAGAAAGCCACGGCUAACUACGUG